ACGAGUGGCGGACGGGUGAGUAAUGUCUGGGAAACUGCCUGAUGGAGGGGGAUAACUACUGGAAACGGUAGCUAAUACCGCAUAACGUCGCAAGACCAAAGAGGGGGACCUUCGGGCCNCUUGCCAUCGGAUGUGCCCAGAUGGGAUUAGCUAGUAGGUGGGGUAACGGCUCACCUAGGCGACGAUCCCUAGCUGGUCUGAGAGGAUGACCAGCCACACUGGAACUGAGACACGGUCCAAACUCCUACGGGAGGCAGCAUG
RNAcentral lists this ribosomal RNA (261 nucleotides) under uncultured bacterium. RNAcentral describes it as "partial 16S ribosomal RNA". It matches the Rfam family "Bacterial small subunit ribosomal RNA", at positions 91 to 353 of the family's 1533-position model. The record is from RNAcentral.